This 433-nucleotide long non-coding RNA is filed under the name Rattus norvegicus (Norway rat). RNAcentral describes it as "long non-coding RNA NONRATT021780". The record is from RNAcentral. Lineage: Eukaryota; Metazoa; Chordata; Mammalia; Rodentia; Muridae.
AGGGUCAACUCACCAUCCCUUAGAAAUCCAUUCUCCCAAGAAGAAGGGACAGAAAGAAAGACCACUUUGUAAGGAAGGCUUUGGUAUCCCAUGAACGAGCCAACCGAACACCGAUUGGGGUGCACCAGGACUCCAGAGCCAGAUAUAAGGCUCAGAAAAGGGCACCAACUUGAUGAUACAAGGGGAGGUAACAAUGACAACCACCACGGAGAUUUGGAGCCCAGUUUAGAGACACCUUCACUCCUUCAUUAUUAAAUAGUGGCCUUUCUCAGUAUUUCCUCUCCCCUUUGUAAGUUGCUGAAAUCACAAGCACACUUUUGGGGAUCAUAGAAGGUUGGGGUUCCAGAAAGGCAUCUAUGUGAUGGUUCCAUUCACUAUGGGGAUUUCCCUACUCGCUGUCUUCUCGAUUUCUCUAAUAAAAAGAGCCAAAUGG